CGUUCACCUGUGAAGGGAGAAAAGCGGGGUCAGGAGGCAGCGGGAGAGGGGCGUGCUGGAGGGCAAGGCAGCUAGAGGCUAUUCUCCUUUCCUUCAGUCUAGAACAUGUCCGGGGGCUUCCCAGUCCCUGAUCACAUGGGAUCAAUGGGAGGCCCAGGGAGGGUCCAGCCUCCGACUGCCUGGAGCUCCUUUUGGGGCUGAAUUCUUAUUCUGGAGUCUCCGCGGUGUGGUUCCUGCACAUGCUCGCAGUGACCCAGGCUCUCCCAGCACCAAGGAAGGAAAAUCACCAAAGUAAACUUUCCUUUCUAAUCAGACCUUGCUCUGAUGCCUGCUCUUCAUUUUCAUCCCUGCCUCCGAGUCCUACUUACGCUGCUUCAGCCGCUGGAUUGUUACCUUUUCUCCCUGCCACUCCAGUGCCGUGCCGGUCACCUGCGGGAAGUGGCCAGCCCGUGCCGCUCUCCCUCACCUGCAGCCCACCUCCUGCACUCCGGUGCUCCUCCUCACCAGCCUCAACAAGCCAACACUGCCCCAGGCCCUGGCAGGGUGCUGAACACACAGGUGGGGUCUGCAAGGCCCGGUGGACAGCUCACAGUCUCUGGGGGGCAGUGUUGGCUUGAUGAACAGAAUUCACUGACAGGUUCUAAAACGACCAAAUAGGAGAUCAAAGGGCUCAGGAGUCUAAUCCCCCAUGGGCCAUUUGCUCUCUCUUGCCUAGGGUAUCCCAAGCGGCCUGGAGCUGGUGUGUGCCCUCUGAUACUGGUCACAUUCCUGGAUGUGGGGAGUAAUCCACAAACCAUUCAACUUUCUUCUUUUGUAUAAAGGUGACUCACUGUAUGUAGAACUUGGCUUUGAGUCCUUAGUAAGAAUUUCUGUGUAAAGAAAAUAGCAGGUGUGUGCACGUGCACACACAUACAACUCUAGAGAUCCCUCAAAUUCCUGCCACUCAACACUGUCACCUUGCUAGUGUGCAUGGGCUCUCGGGGUCAUAUGCCCACCACGUAAGUCACGUUCUAGAUCACUUCUGUGUCUGACAGAACUAUCUGCUCAUUCCUACAGGCUUCAGAAUCGAUCCUCUGACACUUUUCAAAUUACUUUGUGUUGCUGCCACCUUCACGUUGAAAACCUUCAUUGCUUUUUGUUUUUUGUUUUAAAGUAUUUCCUUUUUUACCCACCACGCGGUUGCUAACCUAGCUCCCUUGUAACAGGUGGGCAGGUUUGGGAAAGAGCCAGAAGACAGAAUCUGCAGGAUGGAAAGUUUGAAAAGUGAGGGGAGAGUGUAGGACACCAGACCCUGAAGGCCUCUGAAUGUGAAUUUAGAGAAGAUGACAGUCUGCUAAUUUCCCAAAGAUCCGCCCCUGGGCCUGAGAGAGCAAGGCGUGACCGCUUCGCCGUGCUGCUGCCAGAACCGGUCGGGGAGCCCAGGCCUGCACACCCCCAGCCCCGAAUUCACUGGGGCCACCACGGGGGAGCUGUGUACCCUGCUUCCCUCCUUCAGAGACCUGGCUGUUCCUGCCACACUCAAGGAACGUACCUGACCGCUGCCUCUUGGAAGCUUGGUGUGGGGCCGGGGGUGGGGGUGAUGGGGCAGAACUAGGUCUUAGUUCCCUUAUCCACAGCACCUACGAACACCUGGCUGAACGAACCUGUCCAGGGGACUCUUCCUCCCAUCAUGGUAUUUUUAGACCCCGGGUUACAAAAGGAUGGAGGCGAGGUAGGUGGUGACUGGGGAUGCUUUCUGAUGUCUUAACUCCAGCCAGGGAAGCUGAGACAUUACGGUUUAAGACAAAAAAAC
This is a long non-coding RNA of Lynx canadensis (Canada lynx), 1792 nucleotides long. RefSeq lists it as uncharacterized. The record is from RefSeq and is a predicted model, not a curated record. Lineage: Eukaryota; Metazoa; Chordata; Mammalia; Carnivora; Felidae. The transcript has 2 exons.